RNAcentral lists this ribosomal RNA (254 nucleotides) under uncultured bacterium. RNAcentral's name for it is "partial 16S ribosomal RNA". It matches the Rfam family "Bacterial small subunit ribosomal RNA", at positions 524 to 776 of the family's 1533-position model. The record is from RNAcentral.
UACGUAGGGACCGAGCGUUGUCCGGAUUUAUUGGGCGUAAAGAGCUCGUAGGCGGCUCAGUAAGUCAGGUGUGAAAACUCCAGGCUCAACCUGGAGACGCCACCUGAUACUGCUGUGGCUAGAGUCCGGUAGGGGAGCAUGGAAUUCCUGGUGUAGCGGUGAAAUGCGUAGAUAUCGGGAGGAACAUCAGUGGCGAAGGCGGCUGCCUGGCCCAAUACUGACACUCAGGUGCGACAGCGUGGGGAGCAAACAGG